This 63-nucleotide microRNA precursor is filed under the name Procavia capensis (Cape rock hyrax). RNAcentral's name for it is "miRNA (ENSPCAG00000020420.1)". The record is from RNAcentral. Lineage: Eukaryota; Metazoa; Chordata; Mammalia; Hyracoidea; Procaviidae.
GCGACUUCGAGACUGAGGGGUGGUCGUCCAUCCCGGACGAGCCCCCAGAUGAAAGGACCCCCA